This 301-nucleotide ribosomal RNA is filed under the name uncultured bacterium. RNAcentral's name for it is "partial 16S ribosomal RNA". It matches the Rfam family "Bacterial small subunit ribosomal RNA", at positions 509 to 807 of the family's 1533-position model. The record is from RNAcentral.
CAGUAGCCGCGGGAAUACGAAGGGUGCAAGCGUUACUCGGAAUUACUGGGCGUAAAGCGUGUGUAGGUGGUGAGUUAAGUCUGCUGUGAAAUCCCCGGGCUCAACCUGGGAACUGCAUUUGUGACUGGCAAGCUAGAGUGUGGCAGAGGGGGGUGGAAUUCCGCGUGUAGCAGUGAAAUGCGUAGAUAUGCGGAGGAACACCGAUGGCGAAGGCAGCCCCCUGGGCCAACACUGACGCUCAUGCACGAAAGCGUGGGGAGCAAACAGGAUUAGAUACCCCGGUAGUCCCUGUCUCUUAUAC